GUUUCCCAGCCCUAGUCGCCAUGAAAAAAAAACUGUAACAAUACGCUGAAAAUUGUUAUUAAUUUUUAAUGCAAUCAACGGAUUGAAGAUGACUACAAAGUGCAGUUGGUGCAUCCCCAGCUGCACCUGCUCAAGCGAAAGUCAGUGUCUGGCUCCGUGAGGAAGCAAAACUUCGACCACCUGGACGUGUGCUUCACGCGCAGUAAUCGUGGCAACAACCUGCUCACCAUUGACGGCAAACCCUUUACGCUUAAUCGUCGCAUCAAGGAUGCCUGCUACUGGGAGUGCGUCAAGUUGCGCUGCAAAUACAUCAAGUGUACAGCGCGUGUGGUAACCAAAUCGAAUCAGAUCUCGGCACUGCGCGGCCAUCACAAUCAUCAAUAAGUGUCACGAGUCACUCCUGUGCCAUUUCUCAUUUUAGUGAAAUAAAACGUUUUUCUGUUGAACCAAAAUCCGUCAUUGUAGCUUCUGUAGAGUCUCGAGCAGCGUAUAGUCUGUUUAGUCUCGUAAUAAUGCCUCGAACUCCUUGCAGAUGGCGUCUACCAGCUGGUGGCCAAUCGGCGCGGUGGCCAGAACCUGAUCUACAAGGGUCACAUGUACUCGGUGGAGCGAAAGUACCAUGCCAGCAUCAAUUGGCAGAACAGGCCAAGGAGUUCGUUGAGUAUGUGCGCUCGAAGCGCGGCACUGGCCUGGUCUACUAUGAGGGCAACACCUACACGCCCAAUGAGAAGCUGCGCGAGGGCCAGUUGAGCCGCGACUGGAAGUGCUCAAUGUACCACAAGGCCAAGUGUCGGGCACGUCUCGUCACGCGUAACACACGCAGUGGAGAAGUCAUACAUGUGACCAGCAGAUUUCACACACAUCCCUCGAUGUACGAUCAACAGCAAAAGUCAGAAGCCAGAGACAGGGACGCCCGCAAGCUAAAGAAGUAGCCACCUAAAUGUCUCGUUCUAGUGUAGAUGGAGCAACAAGAGACACAAAAUAAAUCCCUAUAAUUACUGUAUGGCAAUUGGCAAACAUUUGCCUGUGCGGUGUAUUUUAGACGACAAUGGCAGGACAAUGAAAAGGAGUCCAGUGUCCAUUAGAUUCAUCGAGGGACAACGCAAGUCGGUGCAGCUGGUGUGUGGCAGCUAUGCCUAUGCCAA
Molecule: RNA transcript, 1145 nt
Organism: Drosophila guanche
Lineage: Eukaryota; Metazoa; Arthropoda; Insecta; Diptera; Drosophilidae
Exons: 4
Source: RefSeq, a predicted model, not a curated record